GGUCGCACGGCGGUCAACAUCAACGGCGAGAUUGGUCCUUUCUUCCCUACCCUUUGUGGGGUUCGCCAAGGCGACCCCUUCUCCCCGUUCCUCUUCAAUAUGGUUGUGGACGCUCUGGCCUCCAUCCUUGAUAAGGCCAAAGCCGCUGGCCACAUCCGUGGGAUUACCCCACACCUUUCUGGGGGCUCGGGGAUCUCCAUCCUUCAGUAUGCUGACGACACGAUCAUCAUGGUCGAAGGCUCGGAGGGGGACAUCGCCAACCUCAAGUUCCUCCUGCUCUGCUUUCAACAGAUGUCGGGCCUCAAGAUCAACUUUGAUAAGAGUGAUGUCAUGGUGAUGGGAUAUUCCCCCUCUGAGUUUAUAGCCAUCGCCAACAGACUUAAUUGCCGCCUGGGCUCUUUCCCCACCUCCUACCUGGGGACCCCCAUUAGCGACUCGCGUCUCUCUGCCGCGGACCUGAGGCCC
This 465-nucleotide ribosomal RNA is filed under the name Triticum aestivum (bread wheat). RNAcentral describes it as "partial small subunit ribosomal RNA". The record is from RNAcentral. Lineage: Eukaryota; Viridiplantae; Streptophyta; Magnoliopsida; Poales; Poaceae.